UCCCAGCUCAGUUCAGUAGGCCAGGGAGGCCUGGAGCACUCAGGGCAGCUCCGGGAGGAGCGUAGCAGCCAGCCCAGCAUAGGGGAGGAACUGGAGUCCACGAAAGAGGACAGGAAUGAAUGUUUCCCUUAAAAGCUGACACUUCCUAGAGAGGGAGCCGUCUUUGGGAACCGCUCUGCUGAGGCUCUUGAGUGGAAGAUGAGGCAGAGUCUCAAGCAGGGGACUUGUGUGGAGAGGGGGGAAGAAAAGGCCUGUGUCCGCAAGCCGCUCACGGAGCUUCCCAGGAGGUGACUCAUUGGAGCUGUGCAGCAUUCUGUAAAGUGGCAAGAACCUGCCCCUCUGCAGGGUCCACAAAGGCAAUGGGGAGUUUUGCUGAUGUCCUGGAGGAGGAGGAACAGGAGACUCUCCAGGGAUCCUGCCGGGAAAAGAUUCCUGCCGAGAAAAGAUUCCUGCCGAGGAGGAACGCAGAGCUUCUCCGAGGUUUACUACUUGCUGGAAAUAGUUACUUGUGGUUUAAUUAAAGGACAGGGAUUUUACCUGGAGACUCAGUAAAGGUGAAGGUUAUGCCUUGUAGGUCCCUCAACAGAUUUUGUUAAACUGAAUUGAAAUAAAAGUCCGGCUCACAUGUUACUUGUGGAGUAAUAGGGCCUUGGAGCUGGAGAGACAUA
Long non-coding RNA from Mustela lutreola (European mink), 668 nucleotides. RefSeq lists it as uncharacterized. The record is from RefSeq and is a predicted model, not a curated record. The transcript is spliced from 3 exons. NCBI's taxonomy places the organism in Eukaryota, Metazoa, Chordata, Mammalia, Carnivora, Mustelidae.